AGAAUCUCAAUUUCCAGGCCAGCCUGGGAAAUUUAGGGAGACCCUGUCUCAAAACAAAAAAUAAAAAGGACUAGAGAUGAAGCUCAGCGGUAAAGCACCCUCAGCUUAAUACCCAGUACAAGAAAAGAAAAGAGAAGAGAAGAAUCCAACAAAGACUGAGAAUAAUGAGUAAACAAUCAGUGGUUUCUAUCUUAUUCUGUAUUAAAGUAAUAGUAGCUUCCUCAUGUCUUACUGUAGCUUAAUAGUAGGAUGUUCUGUGAAUAGUGGUUUUUUUAAAAAAUAAUUUCAUAUUAACACCAAAAUAUUACCUUAUUUUUGUUUGUUUUGUUUUGUUUUUAUCUUUUUGUGGAUCAAACUCAGGGAUGUCUUACCUCUGAGCUACAUUUCCAAGUCCUCCAUUUAUGUAUUUAUUUGUUUGUUUGUUUACUUAUUUCUAACUUAUUAUGUAUGGCAGCAGGAUGCAUUUCAAUUCACAUUACACACAUAGAGCACAAUUUUUCAUGUCUCUGGUUGUACACAAAGUAGAGUCACACCAUUUGUGUCUUCAUACAUGUACUUAGGGUAAUAAUGUCCAUCUCAUUCCACCAUCUUUCCUACCCCCAUACCCCCUUCCUUCUGCUCCAUCCCCUUUGCCCUAUCUAAAGUUCCUCCAUUCCUCCCAUACUCCCUGCCCCAUUCCAUUAUGGAUCAGCAUCCUCAUAUCAGAGAAAACAUUAGGUAUUUAUUUUGGGGGGGAUUGGCUUACUUCAUUAGCAUAGUAUUC
RNAcentral lists this long non-coding RNA (763 nucleotides) under Marmota monax (woodchuck). Lineage: Eukaryota; Metazoa; Chordata; Mammalia; Rodentia; Sciuridae. The record is from RNAcentral.